Molecule: ribosomal RNA, 253 nt
Filed under: uncultured bacterium
Lineage: Bacteria
Description: partial 16S ribosomal RNA
Rfam family: Bacterial small subunit ribosomal RNA
Source: RNAcentral
UACAGAGGUCUCAACCGUUGUUCGGAUUCAUUGGGCGUAAAGGGUGCGUAGGCGGUCGCGCAAGUCGGGUGUGAAAUCCCAGGGCUCAACCCUGGAACUGCAUUCGAUACUGCGUGGCUCGGGUACUGGAGAGGAGACUGGAAUUUACGGUGUAGCAGUGAAAUGCGUAGAUAUCGUAAGGAAGACCAGUGGCGAAGGCGAGUCUCUGGACAGUUACCGACGCUGAGGCACGAAGGCCAGGGGAGCAAACGGG